Molecule: unclassified non-coding RNA, 274 nt
Filed under: Glomeromycetes sp.
Lineage: Eukaryota; Fungi; Glomeromycota; Glomeromycetes
Description: partial contains 5.8S ribosomal RNA and internal transcribed spacer 2
Rfam family: 5.8S ribosomal RNA (bases 1-65)
Source: RNAcentral
GUGAAUCAUCAAAUUUUUGAACGCAAAUUGCACUCUCUUUGGCGAGUAUGCCUGUUUGAGGGUCAGUAAUAAUAAAAUCGGGGUGUUGCUUUCUUUGUGACGCACCGGAGAUUGGGCUACAUUUAACUUUCGGGGUUAAGAUGCUUAAAAUUGAACUUUUUUGCGCACUUUUAGACGUACAUUAAUUUAUUUUAUCGUUUAUUCUGGUUCCAAUUAUCUAUUAGGUUCGAUCUUGUUGAUAUGAUCUCGUGCCCAUAAUUAUCAUCUUGUGACU